This 260-nucleotide ribosomal RNA is filed under the name uncultured Staphylococcus sp. RNAcentral describes it as "partial 16S ribosomal RNA". It matches the Rfam family "Bacterial small subunit ribosomal RNA", at positions 103 to 355 of the family's 1533-position model. The record is from RNAcentral. Lineage: Bacteria; Bacillati; Bacillota; Bacilli; Caryophanales; Staphylococcaceae.
CGGGUGAGUAACACGUGGAUAACCUACCUAUAAGACUGGGAUAACUUCGGGAAACCGGAGCUAAUACCGGAUAAUAUUUUGAACCGCAUGGUUCAAAAGUGAAAGAACGGUCUUGCUGUCACUUAUAGAUGGAUCCGCGCUGCAUUAGCUAGUUGGUAAGGUAACGGCUUACCAAGGCAACGAUGCAUAGCCGACCUGAGAGGGUGAUCGGCCACACUGGAACUGAGACACGGUCCAGACUCCUACGGGAGGCAGCAGUC